This 1306-nucleotide long non-coding RNA is filed under the name Mus musculus (house mouse). RNAcentral describes it as "predicted gene, 56667". The record is from RNAcentral. Lineage: Eukaryota; Metazoa; Chordata; Mammalia; Rodentia; Muridae.
UUCCUCUUUCAAGCUGUUUCUGUCAGAGAAACAAGCAAAGGAACUAAUACAGGAGUAUUAGUUUAACUCAGGAGUCAGACAGACUUAUUAGAUGGCGUUGUUUCCUCUUGGCAUAGAAUGAAGCUAUUUGGGAGUAGAGAGUUGUUGGGGUGCAGUGCAUCAAGGUUGUCUUUGUAUUCGUCAAUUUUUAAUUCUGUACAGAGAGAGAGACGCGUUCUCACGACCGGCCAGGAAGAACACCACAGACCAGAAUCUUCUGCGGCAAAGCUUUAUUUCUUACAUCUUCAGGAGCCAGGGUGCAGGAAGCAAGAGAGCAAGAAGCAAGAGCGAGAGCAAGAAGCAAGAGAGAGAGAAAACGAAACCCCGUCCCUCUUAAGGAGCAUUCUCCUUCGCCUCGGACGUGUCACUCCCUGAUUGGCUGCAGCCCAUCGGCCGAGUUGACGUCACGGGGAAGGCAGAGCACAAGUAGUCAUAAGAUACCCUUGGCACAUGCGCAGAUUAUUUGUUUACCACUUAGAACACAGCUGUCAGCGCCAUCUUGUAACGGCGAAUGUGGGCGCGGCUCCCAACAUCUCCCCCUAUCCUUUUAAUAAGAGCAAAUAGGCCACCCAUAUUAAUGAGAGUGGAGAUAGAGGUCAAAUCCCCAGUGUGUAGGUAAAGGAGCCAUGUACAGGAUUAGCUCUUAGGCUCACAGGCUUUUACCCAGAGCAACCCUGACCUGCUCCCGUGUCGUUUUGCCUGGGGGAAGGGAACUAGGACACUGAACCUUCAUGAAAGAUGACAUGUCUCCCUAGAAUAGGCUCAUAUAUGCCGCAGAGCCUUUCCAUUGCAGUGCUUAGCCUUGCAACUCUCUCGGGCUGCUGAAGCACACUCACUCUAUCCCGUGCAAUGAGUCUAGCCUCAUGGGAUAUAAGAGCUGAGUGGCCAGCGACCUAUUGCCUAAGCAUAGAUAUAUCAGGGGAAGCUCCAUGUUCUAGUCCUGCAAGCGCCUGGGCAAUAACCACCUUGUCUCUCCUAGUUUAGGCCUUAAGCUUACAGACCAAUCAAAGAAGCAACACUAAUCCACAGCAAAGUGUAUCUCCAAAUAAUAUUAAUCCCACCCAUUUUUUAAAGAAAGAAAAUGCUGAGGAGAUCCAAUUGGGUAAUCCUUUGGUCAGCGACAGGUCCAAGCGCGUGGAGUUGACCUGAAGUCUCAAUUCCCGAAGGAUCUGUUCAAAUUCAGCCAUCCAAUUCUGUAACAUAUACUGAAAAAGACUUUUUGACAAUUUAGCUGCCCUAGUAAAUUUAACAUACUGAAUGGAAAUAA